Molecule: small nucleolar RNA, 123 nt
Organism: Lathyrus oleraceus (garden pea)
Lineage: Eukaryota; Viridiplantae; Streptophyta; Magnoliopsida; Fabales; Fabaceae
Source: RefSeq, a predicted model, not a curated record
GAGAAAGAGCGUCAAUUAACAGAUGUUUCUUGCAUUGAAGGUUGGCAAUAAUAAACUCUAGCGAUUCUCCCUGCCUAUCUAAUUUAUUAGUUUUGAAUAUGACCUCGAACAAGUCGCUACAUU